GGGGAUAUAGCUUANUUGUAGAGCACUUGCCUAGCAUGUAUAAGGCUCUGGGUUUGAUUCCCAGCACCACCA
RNAcentral lists this transfer RNA (72 nucleotides) under Neotoma lepida (desert woodrat). It matches the Rfam family "tRNA". From Rfam's summary of the family: Transfer RNA (tRNA) molecules are approximately 80 nucleotides in length. Lineage: Eukaryota; Metazoa; Chordata; Mammalia; Rodentia; Cricetidae. The record is from Rfam by way of RNAcentral.